RNAcentral lists this ribosomal RNA (500 nucleotides) under Burkholderia sp. Z1S-T7.2. Its description in RNAcentral is "bacterial SSU rRNA". It matches the Rfam family "Bacterial small subunit ribosomal RNA", at positions 35 to 531 of the family's 1533-position model. Lineage: Bacteria; Pseudomonadati; Pseudomonadota; Betaproteobacteria; Burkholderiales; Burkholderiaceae. The record is from RNAcentral.
GCUGGCGGCAUGCCUUACACAUGCAAGUCGAACGGCAGCACGGACUUCGGUCUGGUGGCGAGUGGCGAACGGGUGAGUAAUACAUCGGAACGUGUCCUGGAGUGGGGGAUAGCCCGGCGAAAGCCGGAUUAAUACCGCAUACGCUCUGUGGAGGAAAGCGGGGGAUCUUCGGACCUCGCGCUCAAGGGGCGGCCGAUGGCAGAUUAGCUAGUUGGUGGGGUAAAGGCCUACCAAGGCGACGAUCUGUAGCUGGUCUGAGAGGACGACCAGCCACACUGGGACUGAGACACGGCCCAGACUCCUACGGGAGGCAGCAGUGGGGAAUUUUGGACAAUGGGCGCAAGCCUGAUCCAGCAAUGCCGCGUGUGUGAAGAAGGCCUUCGGGUUGUAAAGCACUUUUGUCCGGAAAGAAACCUCGUGGUUAAUACCCGUGGGGGAUGACGGUACCGGAAGAAUAAGCACCGGCUAACUACGUGCCAGCAGCCGCGGUAAUACGUAGG